RNAcentral lists this unclassified non-coding RNA (274 nucleotides) under uncultured fungus. RNAcentral describes it as "sequence contains ITS2". The record is from RNAcentral. Lineage: Eukaryota; Fungi.
AACGCACAUUGCGCCUGUUAGCAUUCUAGCAGGCAUGCCUGUCCGAGCGUCAUUUCAAUCCUCAAGUCCUGCUGUGACUUGGUGUUGGGGCGCCUGUAGCAUUUAGUGCUUAUGGGCCCUGAAAAAUCGGUGGCGGACCCGUCAGGUCUCCGAGCGCAGUAGCAUUUAUCUCGCUUCUGGAGGUGCUGUCGGGUUACUUAUUCCAGCCAUUAAAUUCAAAUUGAAGAUAACAAAAUUUGACCUCGGAUCAGGUAGGAAUACCCGCUGAACUUAA